Molecule: transfer RNA, 68 nt
Filed under: Tychobythinus sp. 1 EF-2015
Lineage: Eukaryota; Metazoa; Arthropoda; Insecta; Coleoptera; Staphylinidae
Description: tRNA-Met
Rfam family: tRNA
About the family: Transfer RNA (tRNA) molecules are approximately 80 nucleotides in length.
Source: RNAcentral
AAAAAAAUAAGCUAAUAAAGCUAUUAGGUUCAUACCCUAAUUAUAAAGGUUCAUCCCUUUUUUUUUUA